GGAUUGAGUCAAGGGAAAGAGCAUACAAACUAGUCAGCAGAUCUGAAUGCAGGGUGCCCAUAUAGGACCACUACUGGAUGAAAGGGGCUUUGUCUGGUUCUUUAUGGAAUAUAUGGAUGAUGCUAAACACAGAAGUCUCGUGGAAUAAAGCUUUAACAGACAACAAUAUCAAAGGCCUUAUUGGCUGCAUACGAGGCCUCUAUAAUGAAGGUGAAGGGGAUGCGAGUGAACGUGCGGCCAGUUUUAACUGCUGGCUUCAGAGAUCAGCAGAACUGGCCAAGAAGGAGCUGUUAAUGUUCUGUUUCGGUCGAUAUAAAGGCUUGUGGAUGUGUUUGGAUGAAAACACUGUUGCUCUGGUCCAUAAGCUGCUCCUCAAGCUGAAGAACCUGCUUUCUCUGGUCCACCGAAACACAGUGACGGUCUGCAUUCUAAACAUGAUAAUGUACUUUGUCCUGGAUGUGUCUAACUUCCUGCACUGUAAGGAUGAUCUCCUGCAGUCAUUCUGCCAUGUCUUCAGUAUCCCAUCUGCAUUUUCUCAACAGAUUUGUGGAUUCUGGCUUCUAGAUCACGGAUUAGUAACAGACUCAAUGAAUGUCUUAUUGAGCCCAAGAGCUUGUCCUCCAACACUGUCAUGGCACCACUGUGCUGUUCUGAAGACGUUAUUGAAGACAGGAGAGAAUCGAGCAGCACUGAAGUAUCUGUACAGCAUCACACUAGCAAUGGAGAACGUACAUGACAUCAAUCUCCGUGUGGAUGUGUUAAUACACAACAAAUGUAUAUCUGAGGCCUGGGCUCUGAUUAGAGGACUCCAAACUGAAGAUGUUCACCUGUUCAAACACUUCAUUCAUGUCUAUGAGAAUCGUGGGAUUUGAAGAAAUAUGUUGGCCUCUCUAUGCGAGGGUAUGGCUCAUCUCCAGCUGAUAGAAAGCAAAAAUAUGGAGUCCAAUGAGUUACAAAUGCUAAUGCAAGAAACAGCAGGUCAACAGCCAGUAAGAACUGAAGCAGGUAAACUACUGUACAGCUGCGUUCAUCUCAAACAUACAUGUUAGCUGAAAUUAUAUAGUCCUCACGUUCUAUAUAAACUAUGUGAUUUGAUUGUGUGGGUGAUGGACAUGAAUGACAAACUCCCCGUCCACUGUCUGCAUGGCUGUUGACUCCAGGAGAUUUAGUUAAGAUCCUCAGGCAGACUAUUUCUGAGAUAUGUCCACUACCAAAGAAAAGAAGAGUGGUGCUGCUGCUGCCAAAGUACAUGGAGAACAGUGUGAAUAGAGCACAACUCUCAUCCCAGGCCUUAUGUCAUUACUUUUUCUCGCAAUUCUGAGUUUGCAGAAUUCGUAUUUUUCUCUAAAUU
This is an RNA transcript of Sinocyclocheilus rhinocerous, 1351 nucleotides long. It is a transcript of the gene named protein ELYS-like, with no coding region annotated. The transcript is spliced from 10 exons. NCBI's taxonomy places the organism in Eukaryota, Metazoa, Chordata, Actinopteri, Cypriniformes, Cyprinidae. The record is from RefSeq and is a predicted model, not a curated record.